Small nuclear RNA from Oreochromis niloticus (Nile tilapia), 191 nucleotides. Its record names the gene U2. It matches the Rfam family "U2 spliceosomal RNA". From Rfam's summary of the family: U2 is a small nuclear RNA (snRNA) component of the spliceosome (involved in pre-mRNA splicing). Complementary binding between U2 snRNA (in an area lying towards the 5' end but 3' to hairpin I) and the branchpoint sequence (BPS) of the intron results the bulging out of an unpaired adenosine, on the BPS, which initiates a nucleophilic attack at the intronic 5' splice site, thus starting the first of two transesterification reactions that mediate splicing. The record is from Ensembl. NCBI's taxonomy places the organism in Eukaryota, Metazoa, Chordata, Actinopteri, Cichliformes, Cichlidae.
AUCGCUUCUCGGCCUUUUGGCUAAGAUCAAGUGUAGUAUCUGUUCUUAUCAGUUUAAUAUCUGAUACGCCCCCGAUUCGGGGGCAACGUAUUAAACGCAUUUUUAGAACAGGGAGCUGAAUAAGGGGCUCGCUCCGUUCGCUCCACGCAUCGACCCGGUAUUGCAGCGUCUCCGGGAACGGUGCCCCCUUU